UGAGGAACAUGACCUUCGGCGGGGGAUAGCCGGCCCAACGGCCGGGUAAUACCGCGUACGACCACAUGGGGACAUCCCUGAGUGGUGAAAGCAGCAAUGCGCCGAUGGAGUGCCUCGCGGCCUAUCAGCUAGUUGGUGAGGUAACGGCUCACCAAGGCGACGACGGGUAGCUGGUCUGAGAGGAUGGCCAGCCACAUUGGGACUGAGACACGGCCCAGACCUNUACGGGAGG
Molecule: ribosomal RNA, 232 nt
Filed under: uncultured bacterium
Lineage: Bacteria
Description: partial 16S ribosomal RNA
Rfam family: Bacterial small subunit ribosomal RNA
Source: RNAcentral